CUCGAUUUGAAGAAUGAAAAAGAAAGGUCAAUGAAAUAAAAUCU
RNAcentral lists this non-coding RNA (44 nucleotides) under Rhodella violacea. Lineage: Eukaryota; Rhodophyta; Rhodellophyceae; Rhodellales; Rhodellaceae. The record is from RNAcentral.